Molecule: transfer RNA, 87 nt
Filed under: Anaerolineae bacterium
Lineage: Bacteria; Bacillati; Chloroflexota; Anaerolineae
Description: tRNA-Leu
Rfam family: tRNA
About the family: Transfer RNA (tRNA) molecules are approximately 80 nucleotides in length. Their secondary structure includes four short double-helical elements and three loops (D, anti-codon, and T loops). Further hydrogen bonds mediate the characteristic L-shaped molecular structure. tRNAs have two regions of fundamental functional importance: the anti-codon, which is responsible for specific mRNA codon recognition, and the 3' end, to which the tRNAs corresponding amino acid is attached (by aminoacyl-tRNA synthetases). tRNAs cope with the degeneracy of the genetic code in two manners: having more than one tRNA (with a specific anti-codon) for a particular amino acid; and 'wobble' base-pairing, i.e. permitting non-standard base-pairing at the 3rd anti-codon position.
Source: RNAcentral
UGCCGAAGUGGCGGAACUAGGCAGACGCGCACGAUUCAAAAUCGUGUGGGCUUACGCUCAUGUGGGUUCGAUUCCCUCCUUCGGCAU